GGUUGAUCCUGCCAGUAGUCAUAUGCUUGUCUCAAAGAUUAAGCCAUGCAUGUCUAAGUAUAAAUAACUACACAGUAAAACUGCGAAUGGCUCAUUAGAACAGUUAUAGUUUAUGUGAUAUAUUAAAUGGAUAACUGUAGGAAACUAGAGCUAAUACAUGCCAAGGCCGACAGGCUGCAUUUAUUAGAUAUACCAAGAAGGUGAAUCAUAAUAACUUUGCAAAUCGAAACUACGUUUCGAUACAUCAUUUAAGUUUCUGACCUAUCAUGCUCUCGAUGGUAGUGUAUUGGA
Molecule: ribosomal RNA, 291 nt
Filed under: uncultured eukaryote
Lineage: Eukaryota
Description: partial 18S ribosomal RNA
Rfam family: Eukaryotic small subunit ribosomal RNA
Source: RNAcentral